RNAcentral lists this transfer RNA (88 nucleotides) under Thermoplasmata archaeon. RNAcentral describes it as "tRNA-Ser". It matches the Rfam family "tRNA". Rfam says of the family: Transfer RNA (tRNA) molecules are approximately 80 nucleotides in length. The record is from RNAcentral. Lineage: Archaea; Methanobacteriati; Thermoplasmatota; Thermoplasmata.
GCUGAGGUAGCCAAGAUAGGACUAAGGCGCCAGCCUUGAGAGCUGGUGGGGCUUCCGCCUCGCGAGGGUUCAAAUCCCUCCCUCAGCG